Molecule: ribosomal RNA, 400 nt
Filed under: uncultured bacterium
Lineage: Bacteria
Description: bacterial SSU rRNA
Rfam family: Bacterial small subunit ribosomal RNA
Source: RNAcentral
UAAGGAAUAUUGGGCAAUGGUCGGAAGACUGACCCAGCCAUGCCGCGUGGAGGAAGAAGGGCUUAAAAACUCGUAAACUCCUUUUGAUAGGGAAGAAAAAACUAUUGCGAUAGGAAUUGACGGUACCUACAGAAUAAGCAUCGGCUAACUACGUGCCAGCAGCCGCGGUAAUACGUAGGAUGCAAGCGUUGUCCGGAUUUAUUGGGUUUAAAGGGUGUGUAGGUGGAGACAUAAGUCGUGGGUGAAAGUCUAAUGCUUAACAUUAGGACUGCCUGCGAUACUGUGUUUCUUGAGUAUAAAUAAGGUAAUUAGAAUUAAUAGUGUAGCGGUGAAAUGCUCAGAUACUAUUAGGAAUCUCAAUUGCGAAGGCAAGUUACUAGUUUAUUACUGACACUGAGAC